Molecule: transfer RNA, 72 nt
Filed under: Cucumis melo (muskmelon)
Lineage: Eukaryota; Viridiplantae; Streptophyta; Magnoliopsida; Cucurbitales; Cucurbitaceae
Also listed under: 1 other name
Rfam family: tRNA
About the family: Transfer RNA (tRNA) molecules are approximately 80 nucleotides in length. Their secondary structure includes four short double-helical elements and three loops (D, anti-codon, and T loops).
Source: Rfam by way of RNAcentral
GGAUCCAUGGUGCAAUGGCGGUGCAUUUGACUCCAAAUCAGACGAUUGUGUGUUUGAUUUAUGUUGGGUUCA